RNAcentral lists this ribosomal RNA (445 nucleotides) under uncultured bacterium. RNAcentral describes it as "partial 16S ribosomal RNA". It matches the Rfam family "Bacterial small subunit ribosomal RNA", at positions 354 to 796 of the family's 1533-position model. The record is from RNAcentral.
GUAGGGAAUAUUGGACAAUGGGCGAAAGCCUGAUCCAGCCAUGCCGCGUGAUAGAUGAAGGCCCUCUGGGUUGUAAAUAUCUUUUAUCUGGGAAGAAACUCCUCUAUUCUUAGAGGCCUGACGGUACCAGAGGAAUAAGCACCGGCUAACUCCGUGCCAGCAGCCGCGGUAAUACGGAGGGUGCAAGCGUUAUCCGGAUUCACUGGGUUUAAAGGGUGCGUAGGCGGGUUGAUAAGACAGUGGUGAAAGCUCCGGGCUUAACUUGGAAACUGCCAUGGAUACUGUCAGUCUUGAAUGUCGUAGAGGUAAGCGGAAUGUUGCAUGUAGCGGUGAAAUGCUUAGAUAUGUUACAGAACACCAAUUGCGAAGGCAGCUUACUAUGCGAUAAUUGACGCUGAGGCACGAAAGCGUGGGGAGCAAACAGGAUUAGAUACCCCUGUAGUCC